AUUGAACGCUGGCGGCAUGCCUUACACAUGCAAGUCGAACGGCAGCACGGGAGCAAUCCUGGUGGCGAGUGGCGAACGGGUGAGUAAUAUAUCGGAACGUGCCCAGUCGUGGGGGAUAACGCAGCGAAAGCUGUGCUAAUACCGCAUACGAUCUACGGAUGAAAGCGGGGGAUCGCAAGACCUAGCGCGAUUGGAGCGGCCGAUAUCAGAUUAGCUAGUUGGUGGGGUAAAGGCCCAACAAGGCGACGAUCUGUAGCUGGUCUGAGAGGACGACCAGCCAAACGGGAACGAGGAGACGGUCCAGGAUCCUACGGGAGGCAGCAGUGGGGAAUUUUGGACAAUGGGCGCAAGCCUGAUCCAGCAAUGCCGCGUGCAGGAUGAAGGCCUUCGGGUUGUAAACUGCUUUUGUACGGAACGAAACGGCCCUUUCUAAUACAGGGGGCUAAUGACGGUACCGUAAGAAUAAGCACCGGCUAACUACGUGCCAGCCGCCGCCGUAA
RNAcentral lists this ribosomal RNA (500 nucleotides) under uncultured bacterium. RNAcentral describes it as "partial 16S ribosomal RNA". It matches the Rfam family "Bacterial small subunit ribosomal RNA", at positions 29 to 523 of the family's 1533-position model. The record is from RNAcentral.